AUUGAACGCUGGCGGCAGGCCUAACACAUGCAAGUCGAGCGGAUGAAGGGAGCUUGCUCCUGGAUUCAGCGGCGGACGGGUGAGUAAUUCCUAGGAAUCUGCCUGGUCGUGGGGGAUAACGUCCGUAAACGGGCGCUAAUACCGCAUACGUCCUGAUGGAGAAAGUGGGGGAUCCUCGGACCUCACGCUAUCUGCUGAGCCUAGGUCGGAUUAGCUAGUUGGUGAGGUAAAGGCCUACCAAGGCGACGAUCCGUAACUGGUCUGAGAGGAUGAUCAGUCACACUGGAACUGAGACACGGUCCAGACUCCUACGGGAGGCAGCAGUGGGGAAUAUUGGACAAUGGGCGAAAGCCUGAUCCAGCCAUGCCGCGUGUGUGAAGAAGGUCUUCGGAUUGUAAAGCACUUUAAGUUGGGAGGAAGGGCAGUAAGUUAAUACCUUGCUGUUUUGACGGUACCAACAGAAUAAGCACCGGCUAACUUCGUG
Molecule: ribosomal RNA, 484 nt
Filed under: uncultured bacterium
Lineage: Bacteria
Description: partial 16S ribosomal RNA
Rfam family: Bacterial small subunit ribosomal RNA
Source: RNAcentral